Molecule: ribosomal RNA, 169 nt
Filed under: uncultured bacterium
Lineage: Bacteria
Description: partial 16S ribosomal RNA
Rfam family: Bacterial small subunit ribosomal RNA
Source: RNAcentral
CCUACGGGAGGCAGCAGUGGGGAAUCUUGCGCAAUGGGCGAAAGCCUGACGCAGCCAUGCCGCGUGAAUGAUGAAGGUCUUAGGAUUGUAAAAUUCUUUCACCGGGGACGGUAAUGACGGUACCCGGAGAAGAAGCCCCGGCUAACUUCGUGCCAGCAGCCGCGGUAAU